GCGUCAGUAGUCUAGCCUGGUUAGGAUAUCGGCCUUCCAAGCCGACGGCGCGGGUUCAAAUCCCGCCUGACGCA
This 74-nucleotide transfer RNA is filed under the name Candidatus Aenigmatarchaeota archaeon. RNAcentral's name for it is "tRNA-Gly". It matches the Rfam family "tRNA". From Rfam's summary of the family: Transfer RNA (tRNA) molecules are approximately 80 nucleotides in length. Their secondary structure includes four short double-helical elements and three loops (D, anti-codon, and T loops). The record is from RNAcentral. Lineage: Archaea; Nanobdellati; Candidatus Aenigmatarchaeota. RNAcentral also lists the same sequence under 1 other name.